AUUGAACGCUGGCGGCAUGCCUUACACAUGCAAGUCGAACGGUAACAGGUUAAGCUGACGAGUGGCGAACGGGUGAGUAAUAUAUCGGAACGUGCCCAGUCGUGGGGGAUAACGUAGCGAAAGCUACGCUAAUACCGCAUACGAUCCAUGGAUGAAAGCGGGGGAUCGCAAGACCUCGCGCGAUUGGAGCGGCCGAUAUCAGAUUAGCUAGUUGGUGAGGUAAAGGCUCACCAAGGCGACGAUCUGUAGCUGGUCUGAGAGGACGACCAGCCACACUGGAACUGAGACACGGUCCAGACUCCUACGGGAGGCAGCAGUGGGGAAUUUUGGACAAUGGGCGCAAGCCUGAUCCAGCAAUGCCGCGUGCAGGAUGAAGGCCUUCGGGUUGUAAACUGCUUUUGUACGGAACGAAACGGUGAGCUCUAAUACAGUUUGCUAAUGACGGUACCGUAAGAAUAAGCACCGGCUAACUACGUGCCAGCAGCCGCCGCAG
RNAcentral lists this ribosomal RNA (493 nucleotides) under uncultured bacterium. RNAcentral describes it as "partial 16S ribosomal RNA". It matches the Rfam family "Bacterial small subunit ribosomal RNA", at positions 30 to 523 of the family's 1533-position model. The record is from RNAcentral.